AUUCUUGAAGACAGCUCGACCGUGAUGGAGGAGACAGGCAUUUAGAAUAAGCAUGAAAUAAAGGUGGCUGUUAAGGGGUCAGCUCCCCUCACCAAAGUCACUUUUGAUUUACUUACAAAAGUUUUCUUAAGAUUUCUUCAGAACCCAGGUCAAAAGGCUGUGGCAGGAGGCCAGGCAGAUCACAGCGUCCAUGCCUAGAUGCUCCCUGACCCCCAGGAACCAGAAGUGCUGUCUCCUGAAGGCUCUGGAAACCCGGAAUCAGCCUACGAGGCACCAGGGCCACCUUGGAGGGUGGAAAUGAGGACCUCAGGCCCCAGAGGGCAUGCAGGCGAGGUGAAGUUCAGGAGAGGGGAAAGAACAUGGGCUGUGUGGCCUUGGACCAAUUGCUUGCCCUCUCUGGGCCUUCUUAUUGGUGACAGACAGACUGGUGACUUUCUGAGAGGAUCUAUGCAACCUCAGGCUCCUGCACCUGGGUUACAGGGUCUUCUGGAGGGGAAGAGAUGAGCAGCAAGGACAAUAGCAGUGCUCCCUUCCCGGGUCAGUUGCAAGGAUUAAGGAUGAUGUCUGCAAAGUGCUUAGUCAGAGCCGGCAUACGGGAACUCACAGCGAAAUCUACCAACCAAAGAGGAUGUCCAUACCUGUCUUUUUCUUUCUUCCUUCAUUUUUUGACUUAAUUUCCUCACUUGAAAAAAAAAAAUAAAACACCUUAUUCAGGGUAUACUUUAUGGGCAGUCUUAAUUUUUUUUAUUAGGAUGUGGGAUGUA
This 764-nucleotide long non-coding RNA is filed under the name Homo sapiens (human). Its description in RNAcentral is "non-protein coding lnc-PADI1-1:6". Lineage: Eukaryota; Metazoa; Chordata; Mammalia; Primates; Hominidae. The record is from RNAcentral.